AGUAAAAAUAUUAAUAUAAAAGAAAAAAAUAAACAAAAACAAAAAAUAAAAAAGGAAGAAAAUAAAAAAAUAUAAAAAGACGAAGUGAAGAAAAAUUUGAAAUAUAAAAUAGAAAAAACUUUUAGUUUAGAAUAUACAAAGAGAAACAAAAAAAAAAUAUAACAAAAUAAAAAAAGGACAAAUAAUCAAAGAUAAAAAAUAAAAUAAAAAGUCAAUACAAAAUAUAAAUAAAAGCAAAAGGAAGUACACAAAAAGAGAAGUCUUGAGAUUUUAAACUUGUAAAGAAGAAAUAAAAAAAAAUGUGAACAAAAAGAUAUAAGAAAAAGCAAGAAAAAAUAAAAAAAUUAAAAUACAAAAUAUAUAAAAAAAAUUAAAACAAAAAAGAGAAAGCAAAUGAACAAAUAAGUUAAAAGAAAAAGAAAAAAAGAAUUACUGAAGAAUUAUAAAAAUAGAAUAGAAAAUACCAAAAAAAUAAAAAAUGACAGCAAAAAUGAGACAAACCAAAAGAAAAAAAGAUUAAAAUAUAAAGUAAAUAUCCAUAACAUUAUAAAAUUUUUAUAAAAAAUAACAAAAAUUAACAAAAAAAGUAAAAGGAAAAAAAAAAAGA
Molecule: long non-coding RNA, 607 nt
Filed under: Durio zibethinus
Lineage: Eukaryota; Viridiplantae; Streptophyta; Magnoliopsida; Malvales; Malvaceae
Description: long non-coding RNA (DZIB_LNC002050)
Source: RNAcentral